This 425-nucleotide ribosomal RNA is filed under the name uncultured bacterium. RNAcentral describes it as "partial 16S ribosomal RNA". It matches the Rfam family "Bacterial small subunit ribosomal RNA", at positions 354 to 796 of the family's 1533-position model. The record is from RNAcentral.
GUGGGGAAUCUUGCGCAAUGGGCGAAAGCCUGACGCAGCCAUGCCGCGUGAAUGAUGAAGGUCUUAGGAUUGUAAAAUUCUUUCACCGGGGAAGAUAAUGACGGUACCCGGAGAAGAAGCCCCGGCUAACUUCGUGCCAGCAGCCGCGGUAAUACGAAGGGGGCUAGCGUUGCUCGGAAUUACUGGGCGUAAAGGGCGCGUAGGCGGACAUUUAAGUCAGAGGUGAAAGCCCAGGGCUCAACCUUGGAAUUGCCUUUGAUACUGGAUGUCUUGAGUUCGGGAGAGGUGAGUGGAAUGCCGAGUGUAGAGGUGAAAUUCGUAGAUAUUCGGCGGAACACCAGUGGCGAAGGCGACUCACUGGCCCGAUACUGACGCUGAGGCGCGAAAGCGUGGGGAGCAAACAGGAUUAGAUACCCGGGUAGUCC